CACUUCUAAGGAAGGCAGCAGGCGCGCAAAUUACCCAAUCCUGACUCAGGGAGGUAGUGACAAGAAAUAACAAUAAACCGGCUUAUGCCGGUUUAAUUGGAAUGAGUACAAUUUAAACAUCUUAACGAGGAACAAUUGGAGGGCAAGUCUGGUGCCAGCAGCCGCGGUAAUUCCAGCUCCAAUAGCGUAUACUAAAGUUGUUGCAGUUAAAAAGCUCGUAGUUGGAUUUCUGUGGGGACGGAGCGGCCGGCCGCAACUCGCGGUUCGAGCGAGCGCUUUCCCUACAUCCUGCCGCGAACCGUGCUACCAUUAGUUUGGUGGCGCCGGGGAUCGGCUCGAUUACUUUGAGAAAAAUAGAGUGUUCAAAGCAGGCCACACGCCUUGAAUAAGUUAGCAUGGAAUAAUAACUAAGGACUUCGGUUCUAUUUUGUUGGUGUUCGGGACUGAAGUAAUGAUUGAUAGGGACAGUUGGGGCGGUCUGUAUUCCAAAGCGAGAGGUGAAAUUCUUAGACCUUCGGAAGACAAACAGCUGCGAAAGCGUUCCGCAAGGAUGUUCCCUUUGAUCAAGAACGAAAGUUGGGGGAUCGAAGACGAUCAGAUACCGUCGUAGUCUCAACUAUAAACUAUACCAGCUAGGGAUCGGCCAACGUUAUUCUAUACCGACUUGGUCGGCACCUUAUGAGAAAUCAAAGCAUCUGGGUUCCGGGGGGAGUAUGGUCGCAAGGCUGAAACUUAAAGGAAUUGACGGAAGGGCACCACCAGCCGUGGAGCCUGUGGCUUAAUUUGACUCAACACGGGAAAACUUACCAGGUCCAGACAUAGUAAGGAUUGACAGAUUGAUAGCUCUUUCUUGAUUCUGUGGGUGGUGGUGCAUGGCCGUUCUUAGUUGGUGGAGUGAUUUGUCUGGUUAAUUCCGUUAACGAACGAGACCCCAGCCUGCUAAAUAGCGCGCGUGAGCUUUGCUCGCGGCGAGCUUCUUAGAGGGACUAUGAUGCGCGAUAGCACAUGGAAGUUUGGGGCAAUAACAGGUCUGUGAUGCCCUUAGAUGUUCUGGGCCGCACACGGGCUACACUGGCGCCUGCAACGAGCAUAUCAGCUGGCCCGAGAGGGUCUUGGCUAAUCUUUUGAACCGGCGCCGUGCUUGGGAUUGACCUUUGCAAUUGUUGGUCAUGCAACGAGGAAUGCCUUGUAAACGCGAGUCAUCAGCUCGCAUUGAAUACGUCCCUGCCCUUUGUACACACCGCCCGUCGCUCCUACCGAUGAAUGUUCCGAUGAAAUUUUCGGAGAGCACCUGUGAACUUGGCUCUGCCUUGCGAACGGGAGGCUCAAAGUCACUUAAAUCUGAACAUU
Molecule: ribosomal RNA, 1350 nt
Filed under: uncultured marine eukaryote
Lineage: Eukaryota
Description: SSU rRNA
Rfam family: Eukaryotic small subunit ribosomal RNA
Source: RNAcentral